GCCUCGGUGGCUCAGCGGCUAGAGCAACGGCCUCGUAAGCCGUGGAUCGCGGGUUCAAAUCCCGCCCGAGGCUCCA
This 76-nucleotide transfer RNA is filed under the name Candidatus Bathyarchaeota archaeon. Its description in RNAcentral is "tRNA-Thr". It matches the Rfam family "tRNA". Rfam says of the family: Transfer RNA (tRNA) molecules are approximately 80 nucleotides in length. Their secondary structure includes four short double-helical elements and three loops (D, anti-codon, and T loops). Further hydrogen bonds mediate the characteristic L-shaped molecular structure. tRNAs have two regions of fundamental functional importance: the anti-codon, which is responsible for specific mRNA codon recognition, and the 3' end, to which the tRNAs corresponding amino acid is attached (by aminoacyl-tRNA synthetases). tRNAs cope with the degeneracy of the genetic code in two manners: having more than one tRNA (with a specific anti-codon) for a particular amino acid; and 'wobble' base-pairing, i.e. permitting non-standard base-pairing at the 3rd anti-codon position. Lineage: Archaea; Thermoproteati; Candidatus Bathyarchaeota. RNAcentral also lists the same sequence under 1 other name. The record is from RNAcentral.